GUUACGGGUUUGGUCACACGCGCGCUCCGACUACUUUUUCUCCAGCGGGAGAAAAGGUGACGUGACGUCUGGCGAACGGAUCGCUCGCGUGGACUUGGCAGCGGCUCGCCGCGGGGCGUCCGACGCGCCGGAGCAGGGAAGGUUCUGGAAAUGAUGGUGCUUUGGCCAGCAGAACUGGAAGCUUCGACAUUUUGGCGUUCUGGGAGGGAAGUGAAAGUUUAAACAGAGCCUCUAAGGGAGGCCUCCAUUCGUUUAGAGAAAAAUCACACCUGGCUUCAGGUACGGAUGCACGCCGGGAACGACAGAGCCGUGUGCGUGUUCCGCUCACGCCGAUGGAAACGCAUUUCGGUCCCAGUUGGAGAAGUCUCGGGUGUCUCAGGCGGCAGGUGGAACAGUGGUUAAAGCUCUCACCUUGCGGUUGCUACCUCUUGGAUUUGAAUCCCACUCCUGCUUGUACUCAUACUUACUGUGAAUGGACAUAAACUAUCCUGCUGCACGAAUGGGUAAAGCGUGUUGUGGUGGUCAGUGAUCCAAUUCUUAUACCUUCCCCUUGAGAUAUGACACCCAAGGCCAUACAGAACAUGUGAACACAGGCACGCACCUCCUCCAGUGUGUGAGCUAUGAGACUCCUGCUGCCAUUCACUCCGUGGAUUCCUUCACCGAGGCAUUAUUCCUUAUAGUUGUAAUAGCAGUCUGGAACAGUAGGUGGUGCAGUGGUUGGAGGCGUUGCCGUAUCGGCCUUCAUCAACGUACGUAUCUGGAAUCAAAAAACUAAAAAUGAC
This 782-nucleotide long non-coding RNA is filed under the name Scleropages formosus (Asian bonytongue). RNAcentral describes it as "lncRNA (ENSSFOG00015031215.1)". Lineage: Eukaryota; Metazoa; Chordata; Actinopteri; Osteoglossiformes; Osteoglossidae. The record is from RNAcentral.